CCUACGGGAGGCAGCAGUGAGGAAUAUUGGUCAAUGGACGAGAGUCUGAACCAGCCAAGUAGCGUGAAGGAUGACUGCCCUAUGGGUUGUAAACUUCUUUUAUAAAGGAAUAAAACGAGGCACGUGUGCCUUUUUGCAUGUACUUUAUGAAUAAGGAUCGGCGAACUCCGUGCCAGCAGCCGCGGUAAUACGGAGGAGCCGAGUGUUAUCCGGAUUUAUUGGGUUUAAAGGGAGCGUAGAUGGGUUGUUAAGUCAGAUGUGAAAGUUUGCGGCUCAACCGUAAAAUUGCAAUUGAUACUGGCGGUCUUGAGUACAGGUGAGGUAGGCGGAAUUCGUGGUGUAGCGGUGAAAUGCUUAGAUAUCACGAAGAACCCCGAUUGCGAAGGCAGCUUACUAAACUGUGACUGACAUUGAUGCUCGAAAGUGUGGGUAUCAAACAGGAUUAGAUACCCCUGUAGUC
Molecule: ribosomal RNA, 460 nt
Filed under: uncultured bacterium
Lineage: Bacteria
Description: partial 16S ribosomal RNA
Rfam family: Bacterial small subunit ribosomal RNA
Source: RNAcentral